Non-coding RNA from Gossypium raimondii (Peruvian cotton), 46 nucleotides. NCBI's taxonomy places the organism in Eukaryota, Viridiplantae, Streptophyta, Magnoliopsida, Malvales, Malvaceae. The record is from Rfam.
UCAAAGACUCCUUUAGGAGUCACUAAAUAUUUCUAAACCCUUAUCU